This is a long non-coding RNA of Ipomoea nil (Japanese morning glory), 190 nucleotides long. RefSeq lists it as uncharacterized. NCBI's taxonomy places the organism in Eukaryota, Viridiplantae, Streptophyta, Magnoliopsida, Solanales, Convolvulaceae. The transcript has 3 exons. The record is from RefSeq and is a predicted model, not a curated record.
UGCUUAAGAUUGGCUAAGGAAUGAAACUGAAAACUCAAUUGAUGGUGAAAUUGAGUAUGAAACUGGAGAGAUUGAUAAAGUUGACUUGUAAUUUUCAAAGAUUAGUUUGGAGCCCGUGAUUGAUCAAUAGAAGGUGGAAGAGUUCUACUUAUUAAGGGUUGAAUGAAUUGAAGAUUUGAAGGAAUUGAAG